Molecule: transfer RNA, 75 nt
Filed under: Candidatus Niyogibacteria bacterium CG10_big_fil_rev_8_21_14_0_10_42_19
Lineage: Bacteria; Candidatus Niyogiibacteriota
Description: tRNA-Val
Rfam family: tRNA
About the family: Transfer RNA (tRNA) molecules are approximately 80 nucleotides in length. Their secondary structure includes four short double-helical elements and three loops (D, anti-codon, and T loops).
Source: RNAcentral
GCGCCCGUAGCUCAGUGGUAGAGCGCUUCGUUGACAUCGAAGAGGCCCGAAGUUCAAUCCUUCGCGGGCGCACAA